This 87-nucleotide transfer RNA is filed under the name beta proteobacterium AAP99. It matches the Rfam family "tRNA". Rfam says of the family: Transfer RNA (tRNA) molecules are approximately 80 nucleotides in length. Their secondary structure includes four short double-helical elements and three loops (D, anti-codon, and T loops). The record is from Rfam by way of RNAcentral. Lineage: Bacteria; Pseudomonadati; Pseudomonadota; Betaproteobacteria.
GGAGAGGUGGCAGAGUGGUCGAAUGUACCUGACUCGAAAUCAGGCGUACGGGCAACCGUACCGAGGGUUCGAAUCCCUCCCUCUCCG